Planktothrix serta PCC 8927 is the source of this 37-nucleotide non-coding RNA. The record is from Rfam. Lineage: Bacteria; Bacillati; Cyanobacteriota; Cyanophyceae; Oscillatoriales; Microcoleaceae.
GUUGCAAUAACCAAUAAUCCCUAUCAGGGAUUGAAAC